GUACUUACUUCACCCGCACAUAUACUAAACCAGAAUGAUACAGAGCAGAUCAGCACAGGCAUUGGGCAAGGAGGACACCCAAAUUCAUAAGGUAUUCCAUGCUUUU
Small nuclear RNA from Suricata suricatta (meerkat), 106 nucleotides. The record is from Ensembl. Lineage: Eukaryota; Metazoa; Chordata; Mammalia; Carnivora; Herpestidae.